UACGGAGGGUGCGAGCGUUGUCCGGAAUCACUGGGCGUAAAGGGCGCGUAGGUGGCCUGUGGAAGUCUGCGGUGAAAGCCCGGCGCUCAACGCCGGGUCGGCCGUGGAUACUCUCGGGCUCGAGCUUACUAGAGGCAGAUGGAAUUCCGGGUGUAGCGGUGGAAUGCGUAGAGAUCCGGAAGAACACCGGUGGCGAAGGCGGCUUCCUGGUCUGCGACUGACGCUGUGGCGCGAAAGCUAGGGGAGCAAACGGG
Molecule: ribosomal RNA, 254 nt
Filed under: uncultured bacterium
Lineage: Bacteria
Description: partial 16S ribosomal RNA
Rfam family: Bacterial small subunit ribosomal RNA
Source: RNAcentral